Molecule: unclassified non-coding RNA, 473 nt
Filed under: Hevea brasiliensis (rubber tree)
Lineage: Eukaryota; Viridiplantae; Streptophyta; Magnoliopsida; Malpighiales; Euphorbiaceae
Source: RNAcentral
GAGUUUGAAACCAUGUCAUAUCUGUAAUGCAGAAAAACAUGAAUGUGUAAUUUGUGUAUCACCAAUAACUUCCAAAACUAAGCAUUUAUAACUAACAGAAAAGUAAUCACAUGAAAAGUUUGUACCAGUCCCAUACCAUAAAUUCUGCAUCACUCAUCUUUUCCCUCAUCAUUCAAGGUUUAACCAAUGUAUAAUGCAGAUAACGAAAAGCUUGAGAAGAUGCGAGACUAGAGAAAUUAAUAUUACAGUAUAGAUUGUACAUAGGUCUUACUCAGGACAUUAUUGAGCAAUUUCUAGUGCCUCUACUAUCUUAUAAGUAACUUUAUCAAGAAAACUAAUCGCUAGUCCUGUGUCUCAUAAUUUGUACUGUAGUCUUUCGUAUAAUCAAGGAAGCAAGAAAACUAACUACAAAACCCUACCGCAACCACAUUGACCUGCAAUACUGACUCAAAGACACCAGAAGGGUCUCCCAC